CCUAAUUACUCCUGUAAGUUGCUCUGGAUAAGAGCAUCUGCUAAAUGCCUAAAA
Non-coding RNA from Salmo salar (Atlantic salmon), 54 nucleotides. NCBI's taxonomy places the organism in Eukaryota, Metazoa, Chordata, Actinopteri, Salmoniformes, Salmonidae. The record is from Rfam.